AGCAGCCGCGGUAAUUCCAGCUCCAAUAGCGUAUAUUAAAGUUGUUGUGGUUAAAAAGCUCGUAGUUGAACCUUGGGCCUGGCUGGCCGGUCCGCCUCACCGCGUGUACUGGUACGGUCGGGCCUUUCCCUCUGGGGAACCGCAUGCCCUUCACUGGGUGUGUCGGGGAACCAGGACUUUUACUUUGAAAAAAUUAGAGUGUUCAAAGCAGGCUUAUGCUCGGAUACAUUAGCAUGGAAUAAUAGAAUAGGACGUGCGGUUCUAUUUUGUUGGUUUCUAGGACCGCCGUAAUGAUUAAUAGGGACAGUCGGGGGCAUCAGUAUUCAAUCGUCAGAGGUGAAAUUCUUGGAUUGAUUGAAGACUAACUACUGCGAAAGCAUUUGCCAAGGAUGUUUUCAUUAAUCAGGAACGAAAGUUAGGGGAUCGAAGACGAUCAGAUACCGUCGUAGUCUUAACCAUAAACUAUGCCGACUAGGGAUCGGAUGAUGUUAAUUUUUUAAUGACUCA
Molecule: ribosomal RNA, 507 nt
Rfam family: Eukaryotic small subunit ribosomal RNA